GGGGUUUUUACCUUUUUUCCUACGUGUAAAUUAGUUUGGAUAAGACUCAUCAUGAAAAAGAAAUAAAAAUGUGUGGAAUUUCAGCUUUAAGGUUUUCACCCAUAAACACCAUGAGUUCUAAUAAUAAUAGUCCACAAUAUAAAACUGUCUUAAAUUCAGUUAUCCUAUAGAAACGUUGGCCAGUUCCUACCAAAUGGCACCCUAUUUCAUAUGGACCCUGGUAAAUGUAGUUUACAAUAUAGGGAACAGGGUGGCAUUUGGGACCUUACUCAACACAGCAGCAGCACUCUGGCAGCUAGACAAAGCUUAAAUGUGACAUAAACUAUUAUUGUUGUCCAUGAGUUUGAAUUAAAUGUUCUGUCUACUGAGGUAAAUCAAUCUUUGUAAUCAUUCCAUGCCUGAGCCUUAAUCAUGCUGUAGUGGAAGGAAAUAAUUUGCCCUGUCCUAGAGACGAUGGCCCAGACACCAUACCAUGUCUACGAGGAGCAUUCCUUAUCCAAGUCAUUAUUCAGUGAUUGGAGCCAUGUUGUUUAGCCUUUAGUGUUCUGUCACAUUGGUGCGGUCUGAGAGGCCACUUCUGAAAUCGAGACACAGAUGUAUAUCUGAUUGGAAUGGAUAGGUGCAUUUUAAGCAAUGCCUUCAUUCCAUCAAGUCUAUCAAAGGUAAAAUUGCAUUGUAUUGCUUUAACCUGUGAAAUUGUUUGAGAUCUACACUUGUAACUAGGGGUUAGGGUUUUGGUAGCUUUAAAACCCAGGCUUCUUGAGACCAUUUGGAAGGAUGGCCUUGUGCGGUUAAGGUUUUGACCUAAGGGUUGUUUCUGGACAGGGCCUGAUUCUUCUCACUGCUCUUCCAUGUUAGAGAGGUAGCCAUGUUUAAAGAUAGGAGUUGGGGUUGUUAUGAUGACAAAACAUUACAGAUGACCCGGAUGUGAUAGUGGUGAGGUUGUUUUACCUAAUUUUAUGUAAGUAAAUAUUUUGGAUUAAAAAUUGCUGUCGCUUUUGUUUUGUCACUAACUACCACUACAUCGGUAUAAUUCCUUUAUUUUAUCCUGUAUAUAAACAAACAUCAAGCUUUAUUUGAAUUAUCUGUGUUUUUACUUUUUGACCAUUUAUGUUUGU
Long non-coding RNA from Esox lucius (northern pike), 1118 nucleotides. The record is from Ensembl. Lineage: Eukaryota; Metazoa; Chordata; Actinopteri; Esociformes; Esocidae.